This 464-nucleotide ribosomal RNA is filed under the name uncultured bacterium. Its description in RNAcentral is "bacterial SSU rRNA". It matches the Rfam family "Bacterial small subunit ribosomal RNA", at positions 917 to 1382 of the family's 1533-position model. The record is from RNAcentral.
GGACCCGCACAAGCAGCGGAGCAUGUGGUUUAAUUCGAAGCAACGCGAAGAACCUUACCAAGGCUUGACAUCCCUUGACCGCCAUGGAAACAUGGCUUCCCUUCGGGGCAAGGAGACAGGUGGUGCAUGGUUGUCGUCAGCUCGUGUCGUGAGAUGUUGGGUUAAGUCCCGCAACGAGCGCAACCCUUGUCAUUAGUUGCCAGCGCGUAAAGGCGGGAACUCUAAUGAGACUGCCGGGGAUAACUCGGAGGAAGGUGGGGACGACGUCAAAUCAUCAUGCCCCUUAUGUCUUGGGCUACACACGUGCUACAAUGGCCGGUACAAAGGGCUGCGAAAUCGUAAGGUGGAGCGAAUCCCAAAAAGCCGGUCUCAGUUCGGAUCGUGGGCUGCAACCCGCCCACGUGAAGCCGGAGUUGCUAGUAAUCGCGAAUCAGCAUGUCGCGGUGAAUGCGUUCCCGGGUCUU